GCCCCCCACAAACGCCCCCAGCUCAGCUCCGUUUCCAGCUCUUUACUGCACCCUCCCCCCCUUUUGGGGCCACAUUUUGGGGUCCCCAGGUUUGGGGUUCUCCCCCAUUUCGGGGAGUCCCGAUUGCCGCAGACCCCCGAUUUUGGGGAGUCUCCGUGUGGUGAAGUUGGGAGGUCCCGAUUUUGGGGGGUCGCCCCUUUUUUGGGGUCCCCCCCAUUCCAAAUGUCCCAAAAUUCGGGGCGCUGCCUCUCCGGGAUCCUCCAAAUUUGGGGUGUCCCGGAGCUCGCGGUUCCCACACCCCAAACCCCCAAAUUUCGGGGCGCUGAUUCUCCGUCCUGUCGGGUUUUCGGGAGCCCCGCUCCUUUUCGGGGGGCCGCCUUUGGACCCUGAUUUUGGGGUGUCCGUGUGGCCGCAGCUCCCGGUCCUUUCCCAGCCCCGCGUUGGGGCUGUGUCCCAUUUUGGGGGGCCAUGCCGGUUUUUGGGGUGCCAUGUCCGGGGCCGUGCAGGUUUUUGGGGGCUGAUUUUGGGGCUGUGUCCAUUCUCAGGGCCGUGCCCAUUUUUGGGGUGCCGUUCUGGGGCUGUGUCCAUUUUGGGGGGCUGCUUUUGGGGCUGUGUCCAUUUUUGGGGCCGUAUCCAUUUUUGGGGUGCCGUUUUCGGGGCCGUAUCCAUUUUCGGGGUGCCGUUUCGGGGGCCCUGCCCGUUUUCGGGGCUGUAUCCAUUUUCGGGGUGCCGUUUUUGGGGCCGUAUCCAUUUUCGGGGUGCCGUUUUUGGGGCCCUGCCCAUUUCGGGGGGCCGUUGCGGGGCUCAGUCGUGGUACAUGCGCAGCAGGCAGGCGGUGAUGGCGGCCAUGUAGCGCUCCCAGAGCGCCUGGUGCCUGCGGGGGGGGGGGACAACUCGGGGGUCCCUCGCUUUUGGGGAGCCCCCCCGGCCCUCCAAACACCCCCAGCCCCCCCGGGCGCGUUCAGGGCUCCCCUAAUGGCGGCUGGGGGGACAUUCGGGGUUCCUGGUUUGGGGGGGUCACCCGAGGCCCGGCAGGUUCUGGGGGGAUUUGGGGGGAAUUUGGGGGGAUUUGGGGUGGUUUCAGGGGGAUUAGGGGUGGUUUUGGGGGUAUUUGGGGUGGUUUUCGGGGGUUCCAGGUUUUGGGGGCUCACCUGAA
RNAcentral lists this long non-coding RNA (1156 nucleotides) under Chloebia gouldiae (Gouldian finch). Its description in RNAcentral is "Erythrura gouldiae (Gouldian finch) lncRNA (ENSEGOG00005011403.1)". Lineage: Eukaryota; Metazoa; Chordata; Aves; Passeriformes; Passeridae. The record is from RNAcentral.